UUUGGAACAUUUUAAUAAAGUGGAUUAAGAACUCGGACACAAAAAGUAACCUGUUUCCCUGUGACGGGUGCUUUAAUCUUCUCCCUGAGCUGCUGACAAAGGCUUUCCUUAAAGAAACCUCCUGAACACAAAAGGGAGAAUAAAAGAAUGGGAGAACAGACUGAGAGGUGCAAGAUGUUUAAAAGCACCCAAAAAAAUGAAGCCGCUUGGGUGUUAAUUGUAUUCUCUUUUCCCAGAGCCUGUUUUCCUCUUUCGCUUCCGAUUUUGGAUCAAUGCUAGAGGCUGCAAAGCUAACCCAAGGAAGGAAAAAGCCUUUGAUUAGACAAUCUGAGUGGUAAAAAAGGUAUUGAACAGAAAGUGCAGUCAAUGAGCUGCUCAAUACAACAAUUAGAAGGUGAAACUUUUUCUUUCCCUUUCGAAGCAAGACACACCUCUGCUCUGCUGGAAGGAGGUAGGUGGGAGGAAUUUUUCCCAUUCUUGUGCCCAAUUGUCUCCUGGACCUAUUCCAUUUCAAAGAAGAGUAUGACCUAUAAAACUGACCCGCUUUUAUAUCACCCAAUGCAGCCUAUGAAACUAUCUGGCAUUUAAAGGGACACUCCCGGUGUUUUCAGCAACAAGAUUUCCAUGACAAUAAAUUAAUAAACUAAUAAAGAAAUAUAGAAAAAUGUUAUCUUUGCAAGUGUUCCUGGAGUAUUUCUAAUUAAAGAAUCUUUCCAGCAUUGCUGGCAAUAUAAAUGGUUAUACAAUUGAAGUUUUGCCCAGAUGGGGAACCCCACUGUUCCAUGGACAUGACGUGGGAAUUAAAUCUCAGUUGAUUGGUUUGACAUGCCAACACGGUAAGUUCAUUUCUUUUCUUCCUGUCUCAAUGGUCAGAAUUAUUAUUGUAAGACUAGAGACUUAUUUAUAUGUUUGCUUGUUUCCCCUUCCCCCACUAGGGUAUUUUCAAGCUUGGGAGCAUCUCAAGGUGUUGUGGGUGGUUCAACAGAUGACUCUGGCCAACAGCCAGUGUCACUUGGCAAGAAGGCCACAACGUGUGCCCUCGGGGACUUUGCAGACUUGUAACUUUGCAAGUCCUGCAGUGACGAGAGUUGUGUCAGUCUCUUGGGCUUCGUUUGGAGCUGAAUUUGGUUCAAGAACAUGGUGUCUCCUUCAGUCUGGACCAUGUCUACUGCAAUCCAAGACAGAGCCCGAGCUGCAUUUGCUGUGGUUCUGCCAGGGACAAAAGGUGCCAUCACAGGCUCUCUCUGAACAUGGGCAAGCAGAAGAUCUCACAGCAGGAGGGGAACUGAGGCGUUUCUGCAUCUCUCUCCCUCACAGCUUCAGAUACAUCUACAGCCAUUUAUAGACAGAGAUCAUGGUUGCCGAAUGAAAGGUUGGAAAAACGAGACGCCCAAGGCAACCCUACCUCAGUGACAGUGCCUCUGGACUACGAGGGGGAGCCUAAAAUCAAAUUUCUGCAGGGAACUUUCUUCAGUUUUCUAAGGUAUGCCUCCUUUUAAUCUGGAGCUGUUGGCUGGGUGGUUUCCAAACUUGCUUGAGUUGUUGGGAAAGGGGCAGGGAGGGCCCUGUGUUCCCAACCAGGUACAGCAAUUUGUGGGUUUCUGCUCCAUCCUCUUCCUUUAGGUUCACACUUGCUCUGAGCCACCCAGCUACAUUGGCCUCGGGUCUGGGGUUGUACCAAUGAAAUCACCCCCAGGCUUUGGAAAGCCUUUUCUUGGGUGAGGAGUGGAGAGAACAUAUUUCCCUGCACAGAUCCUUGCUGAUAGCUCAGGCGAACUAGGCAAAACAGAUAGUGAUUGAUAGUAUUUGCUUAUGAUGGUUCCUGAUGGCAUUUUGAGGAAGAAUGGAGAGAUAACUAAUUUGCUCGCCAGAAUCUUAGCUUACCUUUGAAAAAGAUAAUUGAGUCUCUUGCCUUCAUAUUCAAAAGAUAAAUGUGCCUUGAGAAUGGCCAAUUGUGUCUGAUUGUGUCUGCAGAGAGCCUGAGAAUAAGGAAAAGCAGGUGCAUCACUAGCACAUUAGUUACAAACUCUCUUGAUAGGCACUUAAGUGGCCCCAUUAUUAACCAGCCUCUGCAGGAC
RNAcentral lists this long non-coding RNA (2078 nucleotides) under Anas platyrhynchos platyrhynchos (common mallard). RNAcentral's name for it is "lncRNA (ENSAPLG00000017988.1)". The record is from RNAcentral. Lineage: Eukaryota; Metazoa; Chordata; Aves; Anseriformes; Anatidae.